UACGUAGGGUCCGAGCGUUGUCCGGAAUUACUGGGCGUAAAGAGCUCGUAGGUGGUUUGUCGCGUUGUUCGUGAAAACUCACAGCUCAACUGUGGGCGUGCGGGCGAUACGGGGCAGACUAGAGUACUGCAGGGGAGACUGGAAUUCCUGGUGUAGCGGUGGAAUGCGCAGAUAUCAGGGAGGAACACCGGUGGCGGAAGGCGGAUCUCUGGGCCGCAACUGACGCUGAGGAGCGGAAAGCUGGGGAGCGAACAGG
Molecule: ribosomal RNA, 256 nt
Filed under: uncultured bacterium
Lineage: Bacteria
Description: partial 16S ribosomal RNA
Rfam family: Bacterial small subunit ribosomal RNA
Source: RNAcentral